RNAcentral lists this ribosomal RNA (340 nucleotides) under Pheidole huacana. Its description in RNAcentral is "partial 16S large subunit ribosomal RNA". The record is from RNAcentral. Lineage: Eukaryota; Metazoa; Arthropoda; Insecta; Hymenoptera; Formicidae.
AAUAGUUUUUUAAAUGGAAACUGGGAUGAAAGAAGUGAUGAGAUUUAUACUGUCUUAAUAUAAAUAAUUGAAUUUAUUAAUUAAGUAAAAAUACUUAGAUAGGUAUGCGGGACGAGAAGACCCUAUAGAAUUUUAUAUAAAUUUAAUAAAAAAAUUAAUUUUAAAGUAGUUAGAGUUAUAUUUUAUUGGGAGGAUAAUUAAAUUUAAGUAACUUUAAUAUAGAAAACCAUUAAUUUAUGAGAAGAAAUAAAGGAGUGGCUUUGGAGUUUAGAAAGAAUUAAUUACCUUAGGGAUAACAGCGUUAUAUUUUUAGAGAGAUCUUAUUGAUAAAAAUGUUUGC